Molecule: non-coding RNA, 21 nt
Filed under: Arabidopsis thaliana (thale cress)
Lineage: Eukaryota; Viridiplantae; Streptophyta; Magnoliopsida; Brassicales; Brassicaceae
Source: RNAcentral
UUAUUUACAAUGGCUGCCACU